UGGUGGAGUGAUUUGUCUGGUUAAUUCCGUUAACGAACGAGACCUUAACUUGCUAAUUAGACACUAGUACACUUACUAGUUGUCUUCUUAGAAGGACUAUGUGUCCAAGCACAUGGAAGUUUGAGGCAAUAACA
RNAcentral lists this ribosomal RNA (134 nucleotides) under uncultured eukaryote. Its description in RNAcentral is "partial 18S ribosomal RNA". It matches the Rfam family "Eukaryotic small subunit ribosomal RNA", at positions 1299 to 1458 of the family's 1831-position model. The record is from RNAcentral.